GAGCAUGUCAAGAAUCUACCUAGUAGUAUGGGAUAGCCACUAGAAAUGGUGGGUAAUACUGUAUAAUCCCUGCGGGGGAAAGAUUUAUCGCUAUUAGAUGAGCCUAUGUUAGAUUAGCUAGUUGGUAGGGUAAAGGCCUACCAAGGCAGUGAUCUAUAGCUGGUCUGAGAGGAUGAUCAGCCACACUGGAACUGAGAUACGGUCCAGACUCCUACGGGAGGCAGCAGUGGGGAAUAUUGGACAAUGGGCGCAAGCCUGAUCCAGCUAUGCCGCGUGAGUGAGGAAGGCCUUAGGGUUGUAAAACUCUUUCAGUGGGGAAGAUAAUGACGGUACCCACAGAAAAAGU
This 346-nucleotide ribosomal RNA is filed under the name uncultured Anaplasma sp. RNAcentral's name for it is "bacterial SSU rRNA". It matches the Rfam family "Bacterial small subunit ribosomal RNA", at positions 108 to 491 of the family's 1533-position model. Lineage: Bacteria; Pseudomonadati; Pseudomonadota; Alphaproteobacteria; Rickettsiales; Anaplasmataceae. The record is from RNAcentral.